AUAUAAAUACAUAGCACUGUGGGUGAUCACCGCUCCGUUCUGUUAGUCGUAGUGUUUAUCUUGCUGUGGCUUGUUUUACGACUUCUCACAAAAAUAAUAAUUUUCAUUGUGUUUACAGCCAUUUCAGCGUCCGUGAAUACGCUAUGCCAUUUGGAAUCUCCAUCAUAAAUAUUCCAAAUGAUAUUGGCCGCCUGCGUGCAACAAAAUAAGAUGCAGGAUUACUGUACUGACAUUCACUGCUCGGUAAACUCCUUGUGGAAUAGUUAUGAGAUUUCCUCUGAUGGGUUUGAAGAGCAAGUUAAUAAGCGAGCAUCAACAUAACCAGAAUAAAAAAAGAGCGGAUGUGGGAUGGCCAUUUUAAAUUGGUUUUAUCAGAGGUAGCCUAUCUUUGUAUUUGCCGGCUCGAGUAUCACUGAUACUGCGAGUCCGGCAUCGCAAACAUUGUGAUAAUCUUUUAUUAAGGAAGAUGCAUGGCAGUACAUUUUAAGUCUAAAAAGGGGAAAAGUUAAUGGAUCAGCAUAUUCGUUACAAUCAUCCCAAACAUCUUAACCCUCCCUGUCACCUGACAAACAACUUGUCAUAUGGAACAUAGACAGCCGUGAUGUAACUGAAAAAAAAACGUGCAAAUCCAAACAAUUUCAACCCGAUCUCAAACAUCACGUGCUGCGUGUCCAAUGACAGAGGCUCUAUGAGUCAACUCAAGCAUGAAGAAAAAAAAACAGAUCCAUAUCUAAACAACCUUUUUUUUGGGGCUUAAAUCAAAGACAGGGCAUUUAAAAUCCCAUCAUGAACAGAGAUCCAUAUCUGCUUGGGCAGAGAUGCUCAGCAUAGAGCCAUACAUCAGGGACAACAUGCUUGCCCAGCUCGAGCUCGGGGGCCGGGCCGACGACUUGACGGAUGAGGGAGUAAAGGGUUUGAAUGUGCAGACUAAUGAUCCCGCCGAUUGGCCCGGACUUCAGCAAAACACUUACGUCAACCCCGAUGCUGUGACCAUUUCGUCGGCCUGCCAGGCGAAAUGCUCCUCGGACCGCUCUCUGAGUGCUCAGAUCCUAUUUCUAAAAGAAACAGCUGGAUCCUGCUCUAGUUUUGUUGGAGUCGACAACAGCUGUGUGCGAGCGGAGCCGCCCCGCGCAGAGCUUUUUUAACAAGCGUGUUGGAGGGGGAAAGAGAAUGCCCUAAUGCAGGUUAAAAUAUUGUUUCCAUGGAAACAACACUUUCCACACAACCAUUCAAGAAAUAUAUCCUUGAGGGCUGAAUUGUAAAGGCACAGAGUGUAAGUGUGCUUUGUGCAUUAUUAUAUAGCUGUACUGCAGCUGGGGUUGACUGCCCUUCGUUUAGAGUUCCUACCCAUGGGCCUUAAUUGGACUCCAAUACUUGGAAGCUAUGUAACUUGUGAUAUCAUUUUUCAGUUAGAAAUAAAGCACCGGUUCAGUCUGUCUGCUGGUGUGCGUUCUUUGUCCUUGUAGUUAGUUUCAUAAAUCUAACCACCGUCAUCCAUCUGGAUAACAGUUUUACUUUGCAGGCGGAUUCAAGCUGUCCAAUGAUUUAUAUGUGAUUUAAAUUGACAAACUGACGCUGACAGGGAGCACUGCGAUACAACAAGUCCGCAUAUAAUUCCCUAAUUGUGUUUGUUUUUGUGGCGUUCCCCGGUUUGUGUUGACGCCAAAAUCCCACACGGUCCACACUGCGCGAUGCCCAGAGCCACACAAAGAUCAGUCAAACUGAGAUUUCAGUCAGGCUUUGAUUUGAGGCAGUACGGCUUUUGAGAUUUGAGAGUCCAUACAUAACCCCAAUCAGUGGAUUUGACCAAAUUUGUCAUUCGACAAAUAGACUGAACCAAUGUUUUUCAAAGCUGUCCUGUGCUAGAGAGGAACUACACGCCGUCUCUCCGCAGCGUGCACGGCAAUGAGUCAAAGCGUAGAAGUUGUUACAACCGGACCUGAACCCGAAUGCACAAUUCAAGAAGCAAAAGUUCCAAAUCAAAGUUCACUUUCCAAAACGAUGGCUGCAAAAUGAAAGGAAAAAGAGGCUGAUGAACAUGCAGCUCCAGAAAUAACCAAAACCGAACAACUGAUCGUGUCAUGAUCUGACUUUGCUUGGAGGUGUGUUUUGAGUUUCAGAAUGGGUGAGCAGGUUUCCCCCGGUUACCUGGGCGGAAUCUGGAGGCUGCCAUUGUCAGGAACCCUUCUUAAGGAGCAGCAGGAGCCCCAGUCUUCGUCAGAUUAUUUUCUCCUCCUUGUGGUAACUUGGCCAGCUCGCACCAGAGUUUUGAUUAUCAACGAAAGUUUUUGUGCCUUACCUUGUCUCCUUGUUCCAGCCUCGUUCCUCCAGGGUUUGACGGAUUCCCUGGCUUCCCUUCUCACCCUCCGCAACUCGGAAAACUCCCUCCAGCCAGUCGAGUCGCUACCUCUCCCUCCAGUGUUGUUUCCACCAGAUCACAUUGCUCCUGCCGCCCGGACCCCUACCUGUUUUCUCCAGCAUUCCCCCGGCCACGGGUUCAGCGCUGCUUAUGAAAACCCCACUUCUGUCGAAAUAAAAUCCUUUUUUUUGUCCAUUGAAUCCUGCUAUUGAGUCCUACCUUUGUUUUGGCUGUCACCCCGUGACAGAUCGGACCACUUUCUGCACUUUCCCACUUCCGUGUUUCGGGUCCGGGCAUCUUUACUUAGUGCCACUUCCACUGUUCUAACAUGACACCUUACACAGAAUCCAAAUACACACUCCUCUAAAAAUAUUUGAAUCUAUGUAGCUUUGUGACGAGAUGGCACUAUUCUUUUCCACUGCCAAAUAAAAAAACAAAAAGCAUUAUGCAGGUUGCAGAGAUCAUGCAGCACCAGACUGGGCCGACAUUUUGUUGAACAUUGACGUUCUUGAGGAAUCCGCUCCUUCUCCCCUUGUGAAUACUAUUCAUAACUUGAAUAGCGGUUUAAGCAUGGAUGAUCCAUUAAUUGACACGUGACUGCAGCAUGUAAAUAAUGCAGUCUACGGCCAUGUGUGUUUUUUUUCCUUCCUGAGGCGGGGCGGCUGUUGCUCACAGAUUAAUCGGAGGAGAUGACGCGUCCCAAAGUCACCUGCCUCCGUUGCUGUGAGCAAAGUCCUCAAGUCGCCCUCGCUUUCACUUAUACAAACCUUUUUUUCCUGUCCUGUGGACACUUGCCAUAUAGACCCUACGGCGUGCCGCAGCUGCACACAUCUGCCUCCCGCCUCCCGCUCAUUAAACUGCUUUCUUUCCCGUUAGCCCACAGACAGGAUGGGUGCUUAAAACUAAUCCCACACCCAGAAUCAGCCAUUUACAUAAUGCAGAAGACAGCGUGGGCGGAAUGCAAUCUGUUCGCUACCUGGCUGCUGAAGGUGUGUCGCGGUUGUUGUUGGAAAUGGCAUGCAGCGCUUUUUGUAUUCAUGCUGCGGACACUCGCUUCCUCUGGCUGCUUCGGCGAGCGGGGAACAGUGGGUUACUCCGAGGUGUGGAUGUGAGACCUGUGGUUGACUGCUGGCCGGGGUGCUUCCGUGCCUUCCACGCGGUGUACUCUGGGGUGUAGGCCGACCCUGGAAAAAAAGAAUAAGUGGGUUUUCAAAAAUGGAUGAAAAACCUGAAAGCGUAGCGUGGCGGGACGAGCGUCCAGGCAGGCGUCUGGUUGUCCGCUCCGCUCUGCCCGGCCUGUCUUUGCACUGAGGGAGGGAACGUAAGCUCCACACUGAAUGCAUGAGUAAACCCAAAAUCUAUGAAUGGGUACGUUGACUGAGCGCUGAUUUUCCUCACCUUUUCCAUGAAUUAUGUGAGCUCAAACUUUCGUUUCAUUUCAUUGCCUGCAACCAGGCUGCUCCAGAACCUGCAGAAUGUUUUAAUUGAUAGAUUCAUUUUUAGCACCUACAUGACAGAUUCCGAUUUUCAUAUUCAUUCUUGCUUUUUCUCUGAUGUCAAUUCAACCAGCGGAAAGAACAACAAAAGGUGUUAACAAGUAGCCUACAUUUUCAUGUAAACAUAUUGAUUUGUGUAUUUAUCAUGUGGAGCCACACACACCGAGCUUCCCCUUUUUGAUGCUCACUUGCUUUGAUGCAUUCCAUCAUUCAGGUCUCUGAGGUUGGGAAGGAUCCAUAGUUUCCAUUGGGAAUCAUUUCUUGUCUGAUCAUUUGCUGAGUAAACAGCCAUUCCUUCCAAGCAGCCCAUUAUGACCAAAGACAAGGCCAAACUGUGUAAAAAUCAAUUCAUCGAAUCAGGUCAAUGUAAAGCACAUUAUCUCUGCUGGCAAAAGAAGAUGCAAAGUAUGGCUUUUAUUAUUGAACCGCUUUAGCAAUAUUCCCCAAGUAAUAGCAUUUAAUGUCGUUUUAGUGGACUACUACUGACCGUUAUCAGCAGCUUUCUCUGAAUGAGCAAACCGAAUACAUUAUGUAUUUAGGCACUAGCUGCUGUUGUUUGGAAGUGGGUCAUGCGGUGUGCUGGGCUCCGACCAGGGAGGACACCGCAUGUUAUUACCAGAACCAUCACAACCGUACAGGCGUUCUAACCGCGCUCUGUGGCCUUUACAUGGCUUCAUUCGUUCACAGUGGAACCCUCACAGAGCAGAACCCUUUGGGGUUCACCAUCACAGGGGGAAUGAAUAGAUAGAGAGGGAAUUUCUAAGAAGGUUAUAAUACAUCAAUAAACAUAUUUUAAUCCAAACAAGCUGCUAUUUGUAAGUAAGUAAAAGGAUAACUUUGUUUACAUGAUUUUUAGGUGACAAUAAAAAUGAGCCUUAUUAACCAACUUAGACAAAAAAAAGGGAUAAAUAUCUACCAAUUUGGAUCAUCAAUGGUAAUUAGUGAUCAGGGAGCUCUUCGGGCUCUUUUGCUGCCUUUUCUUUCUCUUGGUCCGAGCGGUGACUCUUAUGAUCUCUAUCUCCCACUUUUCACUGUGCAUUUACUACCAAUUUCUGCUUUGCUCCGAUUGCCAACACACGUUCCGCCUCGCUGACUCGCUCCCUCUCUAAAGCUGCCAGACAGAAUUGAUUGAUCGAGGCAGCUCAUGGAGUUGAUGUGUAACAAUUUGGUGUGAAUUGUGUAUGACUGCACAUGUUUUUAUUGAUGGUUAUCGGUUGGAAUAUUGUUGCUGACGCAAAUAGUGUUAGCAGCAGCUUUCAGAUGUGUGGCACAGUCCAAUUAGGAACUUCCUGGAUGUGUCUAACCAAGACACAUGUUGUUUUACCAAAAACACACCCCACUCUGUUUAAAACACACCUCACUUGUGUACAGUGACCGCAUUAGAAGAGUCAGGGCUCGGCUAAAAGUACCCCAUAAGAAGUCAACUGAUAGUUUCAGAGGGGAAAAAAAUAAUUUUGUAAACAUGAUCUAGUAGAAACACAAAAUCCACGCUAUGGACCUGGAAAAGAAGGGAAAAAAAAUCAUGUCCCUUGUAAAUAAAUAAAAAAUCCAGUAUCUCCAAAUUGGCCGGUGGUCUGUUUGAGUGUGUGAUGUUUCAGUCACAACAGCAGUACUUCCUGUUUCCUUUGAUGUUGUUCUCUUAGAUGGCAUGCUGUGAGCUAAACUUUGAUGCAACUUCAUUCCUGAGAAAGAAACCAUUUGAUGUUUUGAUUAUGAUGGUGGUAAGUGGUCUCUGGAGCAGACUGUGGGUGAGUGGGGAGCACGGUCGUCCUCCAAUCAGAGGGUUGUGGGUUCGAUCCCAGGCCCGGCUAACCCGCAUGUCGACAUGUCCUUGGGGGAGACACUUAACCCAACAUUGCUCGGAUGUUAGUGGAUGUUAGUUACUGAUGGGCAGGUGUCACUGUGUAUGGUUCUCCUGUCAUCAGUGUAUGAAUGGGUGUGAAUGGGUGAAUGAUGUCAUGUAGUGUUGAAGCGCUUUGAGUGGUCACAAUUACAGGCCAUUUACCAUCAAGAAUGUACUGUAUAGAACUUUAGUGGAAAACAAGUACUGUGUGUUGACCCACUGAGCCAGCUGCCAUGUGCACAGAUUACUAGUCAGUUUGCUGGAAACUGUGUGUUCGCUUAACCCACUGUGAGGCUACCACUGCUCCAGAAAGCAACACUCGUAUUCUAUUUUUACAGUUUUAGUGUUACUUCGAUUACCCGAUUGCACAAGCUCUCCCUUUUCCACCUUCUAUGUUCGAUAACCUGAUCAAUUGUAUUUUGGCACAUCAGUUACUUGUCAGGACUACGUGAGCACCAACUGCGUCUGUGUAGGUUUUUUUUUACAUUUCAGUUCAAUUUAAAUGAUCAAUUUACAGAACCAUUUCAUGCAAUAGUUGUCAAUCCUCCACCUCCGUCCCCGUCUCUCUCAAAAUCUCAAGCGCACACAGUGAGCAAGUAAUUUAUUAUAAAUAAUUUUGCUUUAAUCCAUAUGUGUCUGCAUUUGCACUUUCAAAUCCGCUAAAUCCAAACACUGAUGCUUUUGAUGUCAAUGUCAAAAGCUUUAUUGGAGAUUGGUGUGUGUGUUUGUGCACGUGCAUCAGCACACAGCUCCUUUUGAACUCGCAACAUUAAUUGUCACUUUGCGCAGUGAAGUCCUGACAACGGUAAGUGAAUUAUUGACAUUAACAUGACAAAAGUCAAUUUGUACACCGAACUGUAGAUUUCUUAAUUUUGCUUCCUACAUCCGCCGAAUUCUAAAGCCUCGGUUGGUUCCGAUCAUUAAUGUCAUAGCUGACUGGUUGCCGGCUAUUUGGUCUAAUGGCUGAGUGACAUGGUUUAUACCCGUUAAUUAUAGAGAGAUUAUUGCCCGCCUCGGCGGUUCUGCAGAAAGCCGCGUGGGGGGGGGGGUGUACCAGCGCUGUCAGCUCUUUCUGCCUCAGGUCUCUGAAUUGGCAGCUUCAUUGGUUGUUAGGUGCAACCUAUAGAAAGCCUCUUUCUCUCCCAGUAGAACAGUCAAGCCGCUCUCGCCGCCUCGGCACUGUGGCUGCCCAUCGCCGGGAACGACGCACUCUGGUUGACACGGGACGCAGCUCAUGUGACAGGAAGUGAGACAGUACUUCAACGAGUCCCACAUCACGGGUAUUGGUGGAUUAAGUUGUUCCUGUGAGACAAUAAAGGCCAGACAGAUCGGCCAUAUAUUACAUUUCAUGGACAUUAUUUUGCCGUUGAGCCUUGGCGGAGACAAGUGGGAGGGGGCAGGAUGCGACACACCCGCAAAAAUGCCGGCCGAGGCCCUGUACAUGUUCAAGGUUGAUCCACCUCCUUGGGGACCAUUAGAAACAACCUUUCAAACGGCCUGAUUGGAAAGAGAGGCGCUCUGCAUAUCAACAGGAAGUAGCAUCCCCAGAGGUUGGCGUGAAGAGAAAAGGUGUGAAGAGGAGCUGACGGAGGGAAGAAGUGCGAAAAUAAAUGAGAGGUGAGGUAAGAUGCAAAUGAAAAAAAGACAAAUAAACAGAUACCGCAGAGGAAGUGAUUUAGACACAUUUAAGCUUAUUUAAGGGGAUUAGGAAGAGCGGUUGUGAGGGAGGAGGCAGGUAAGAAAGGUAGGAAUCACUUCAUCUUCAACAUACAGAAUCAAACAAGGCCAGCGUGAAGGGCCACACUUCACUUCACUCAAAUUACUGGCAAUGAACUACAUUUUUUUUGACGUUUGGAUUUGAUGCAAGUACGCUAAUGACAUCUAUAUACAUCAAUUAUAAAGUGUCCCAAAUUGCAAUCCACAACAUCAUAACUGGUUGUAUUGUAAUAUUGUGUGUAAGGGUUGUGUAAAAAAAUAUGCUACGUAUAAAUAUUAAUAAUUAAGUAAAUACUUGGGCAAAGGUUGGAUGAACGUUGGUUUGCAAACAUAUCAUUAGCACUGCAGGGGAUAAAAGGUCUAUGAUAUUUGCAGGUAUUUUUCCAUUUAGACACAUCAUUUCAAGUGAGAAGCUUUGAUAUUUCCUCAUAUUCGCUGCACCAGAAGUAGCCGUCUGAUCAGUGCGCUUCCUUCCUCGCCGCACUGAUUCACCUCAAACAGACCUCUGUGCCUAUUUUUAAUACAGGUCACACAACGGCCUGCUAAAUGGCAUAAGAUAUCCUCGUCUGAAGCUUCCUACGCCAUUUGAAACGGGGAAAAGGCAAAGAGCAGCGGCGCCGCCUUUUGCUCAGCAGUCACAAUAGAAGAGAAAAUAAAUAAUGGAGAGAUGUAACUUAAUGAAGACAUCUGCAGCCAGAGGCCGACACCGCCGCGCUGUGUCACAGCAAAAGGGUGAAAUAUCACCUUCGGUAGGAGGAAAGUGAAUUAAGCAACUCACACAGCAGACCUGAAGAAGAAAGAGUUUGGGAGGUAUUGGUUCAUCUAUCAACACCAUCUCGCUCUCUCUCUCCAAGGUGCAGGAGGAAGGAAAAAACCAUCAGUCACCAUUUUUAAACAACACUCUCUCCAUCUUCGUAACGGCUUUACUUCAUACGUCUACUGAGGAAUCUGUGGGGGAGGGGGCAGGAUCAUUCGGGGUCAAUCUCAGAAAGCGGACAGAGGGGCUCGUCUCGAAAGGAAAGAAGAAAGUGCAACAGGCGGAUCGGAGUCAGCAUAUCGACGGCGCGAUGGAUUGGGAGAGGGCGUAAAGACCUCCUUGUGAAAAAAGCCUUGUGUAAAAGUGCAUUGAGUCAGCAGGGUUAUCGCGCCGCUUUCUGUCCAGGCGCACGCGCUUACGGGGCCAACGAGAGAGAACACACGGCCGUGUGGAGAGUUUCAAUGGAGACACAAGGAAGGUGUGGUAGCGUGAGCUUCCUCUGCAUCCGUCCUCUCUGCCCAAAUAAGAGCCGGGAGGCAGCAAUGCACGCACUAAAACCUGUGAUCGACUGCAGCAUUUGUAUUCUCCCUCUGAAAUGUGCCAGGAUUCAUCAGUCCGUGCAUAACACCGAAUCAUUUCCCCAAACGGUAGGUAAGAAAUAUUCCGGUAAAUAAAGCACACUAUAACCAUGGGCCAGACAAAAUAAAUCAAACUCCUGAGUCUGGAAUAGAGGAGAGACUGACUUGUGGCUUCAGGCCCUGAUUGGACUACAAAACAGAUUAUUUGAGGGGCACAGAGAAUGCCACCCAACCUUUCGCCAAAGCUUCUAGCAAAAGAAAACAACCACAAAGGGUGCCACGCUUUUGGUUAUUAAGCUAAAUUUACGGAGCAGAGGGUUGUACAACGUGACCAGGUAACUCUGUUCUUUUGGCUUAUAACACAACUGUGUGUACUCUCGGCCAUCCACAUAGACCACAGCGUAUGCGUAUAUGUGAUUGGCUGUUUUACAGUAAUAUAAUAGUUUUGUUUCUGUGGAUGAAACCUUGAGGCAUCUAAGGACGCACAUCCUCUAGAGGCACAGAGUUAAAAAGACAUCCAGUGCUCGGCCUCGGCCCCAAUGGGCAAUGUGAGUUGGGGAGGGGGGGUUGUGACAGCCUAGAAUUAAUUGACAUGCCUCCGAGUGGUUGUUCUCUAAUAACAUAUUGAUCCACCAGGCUUGAUAUGCAAAGCAUCUGCCAGGGAGUGUCGCUGGCGAGGUGAGACAAAUGCCCUCAGAAUACCUUCUUUUGCACAGCCGCGUUGAUUAAAAGGAAGCAUUUGAGCCUGUGAUCACAUUACAUUACAUUACAUGUCAUUUAGCUGACGCUUUUAUCCAAAGCGACGUACAAUAAGUGCAUUCAACCAUAGGUUCAUCACAUGGUACCACAUGAUGGAACCACAUGGAACCGCAUGCUACAACCUGUUCUCAUUAGCACAUGACAAAUGCCACAAGCUGUGGCGUCAAUCACAAGAAGUCAUUGACAAGUUCAAACCUCCAGACUGGAGGUGUUGUAGUUGUUGUUUUGCUCGUGGGUCUUAAGAGGAGACAAUGUUCGCUUCGCUGCGGGCAAAUAAAUCUUUCUAAUUCUUGAAAUUCUAACCCUACUAAGCAGAACAAAGGCUCGCAGAACCUACCGAAGACUACACCCAACCCAACCCAAACGUGAUGGUCACAAAACCGCUAGUAACCUAAAUCUCAACGGCUUUUUUCUUCUGCAACCCAAUAUUUUCUUUGAGAAGACUGGCCAAAAGGAAGGAAAAAAUAAGGACAAGUGGCCCACGAAAAGGGCUAUUGACCGGGACAUCCUUUAUGUGGCACGCGUGAGGUCGGAGCGGGGCGGAAGACUGCCCCGAUCGUUUGUAUUUUAAAUAAGGGGAAAAAAAGAAAACCAGCAACGCCACCCCGGGAGGUAACCCAGGGAAAAAGAAAGAACAAAAAUCUAUGAAUAAAGUAAGUUUCUAAAUUUAAGCAAAAGGACAACACAAGUUCGCUAUACUGAGCAGGCGGAAGACGUGUUUCCAAAAGAAAUAUACAAAGUUUAUUUCAACCACAAUAGAAACAAUUAAAAUCUGUCAAAAAGGUUACCGUGUUUUUCCAGGGCUGGGGGCCUUCGUGCUCAAGGUGAGUGAGGGGUGGGGGGUGAAGGUAUAAACUAAAAAUGGGAGCACCACAAUCCACUCUUUAACACUCCAAAACACACACAAAGGAAAAACAAAAAGGGAGUGAAUAAGACACUACACACGAGGGGACACCAUCACCAAAAAGGGUUCACCAGUGAGGCACUCAGCACCUGGAAUUACAAAGAGGGAAACCGUCAAAUGAGAUAUAUAAUAUAUUCAAAAACAAGAAUUUACAGGUUCAAAAGACAAAUCCAAAAAGAAUAUCAAAUGAUACAGGGUAAACGCAAGAAGACUAAUCAAUGAUCACAAUAAUAACAAAAAUAAUCCAGGAAAGUCUCCCUUGACAUCAAUCCACACAAAUCAGCAACGUCCUUAAAAAGGGUCAUUUUAUCCCCAUAAAAAGAGUUUGUUUUAAACCUAUAAAAAGUAGGUUUGUUCUAUCCCCGUAAAAAGCAGCAGCAGUCCAAAAGCAGUACGGUUCGGGAUAGCCGGAUGCCGAGCCCUCAGUGUGACAUCGCUCCAGCACCGAAAGGGAAACUAUCCGACACGCGCCGUCCAACCUGCCACCGCCUGCACUAUGGUACACAAUUUUGCGCCACACCAAAGACUGCAGAGCGUCUGCAAAAACCUGCAGCCAGGCAACCCGGAAGCAGAAAGUUCGCACCCGCCGCCAGAGAGAGAGAGAGCGCAGAUCUACCAAUCCCUUCUUAUAGGGCAGAUAAUUAAAGGGACAAGACCGCGAAUGCGCCAAGAGCAGUCGUCCUGCUACAUUUACAAGAGCAAGGUCCUCCGAAAAGAUCAAACAUGACACUCUCCUCUAAAUGAGGGCAAGGUCGCCAUGGGUGAGGGCUCACUUAGGCAGAGGGAUUGUUUUGGUGAACUCGGCCGCCACGGAAGCGCUCAACGUGACCUUCUCUAAACAAAGACAGAAUACGGAAGCAAACGCUUCGUCCAAUAGACGGUAACCAAUAGGGUCGAUCUUAGAGUCGGUUCUACCUUGGCACGGCACUGGUGUCGGAGGGGAGCAGGUACCAUGCUGUGGAUCAGCACCGUCAGGUUCCUUAUUGUGUUCUGCCUGCAGGAUCUGAGAUGGACCAUAGUGUAUAGUCUAGACCAGCAAUUCCUAAAGUGUGGGCCCCCUGGUGGGCCGCGAAGGUAUUACAGGUGGGCCGCGAGAGGUCAUUUACAAUAAAUAAAGUUUUUUAAUUUUCAAUUUUCAAGUUUGAAAUUAAUAUAAAAUUAUUUAUGAUGCGGCACAUUAGCUAUGUGAAACAUUAGUUGAUGAAGCACAGACAGAUUAAUAAAACAAUAAGGCUCUUGCUCUAAACGGCUGCUCUUGUCCGCCUGUCGUUGUUCAACAAACGGGGCGCCCUCUUGUAGUAUUAAAGUAAAUAUACCGCAUUUUCCGCACUCCAAGGCGCACUUGAAAGGCUUUAAUUUCCUCAAAAAACGACAGUGCCUUAUAAUCCAGAGCGCCUUGUAUGUAUAUAUGGAUCAAUUGGUUAAUCGGUUGAUCCAUACUCGUUGUACACUCGGUCUACGACGGCGAGAUGCUGAGCGGCGUCUCCACCUAACAGCGAGCGCGUAGAAAACUCCUUCGAGCGCGAGCAGAGAUUCUCCUUGGGAGCAACGAAGUUCACGUUCCGCAAGCGAUUAAAUACCUCGCGGAGACUAACUUUUGCUCGCGCGAGACGGACUUUUGCUCGCGGAUGUUUGAUUUUGGUUAAAUUCUUAUGGUCAUUUAAUCAUUAUGUUUUGAUCAGAGUUGUGAUUAAAGGUUUGGGUGGCCCGCAAAAGAUUUUCAGAUUUUAAAGUGGGCCGCGGCAUUCUUGAGUUUGGGAACCUCUGGUCUAGACGAUACUCAUUUAGGUUAGAGUGAUAUAGCAAAUGAAUGAAUACCUCACGUUAAAUUGCAUUUCUUUGUCAUUGUGUUAUAUGUGUAGUACACAGUACCUCCUGCAGAUCUGGUUCAGGCACAGGUAAGUUACCUGUAGCGUCCCAAUCCUCCAAAGCUGAUUAGUGUCGACAAUAGUACCUCGGUCGGAGAGAACCAAGCCCACAUGGUUCAUUUAAAUGGUUUCAUUAAUGCGUAUGACCUUAAGCCUAAUUUAUGCUUCUGCGUUUUCAGAGCGAGUACCCUAUAAGAGCGAGGGAGAUCUCCGCAAACGUCGGUUUGCCGGUCGAGGGGAGCAAAGUUGUGGAGGAAAAUACGGGACAAAUGUAUCCGCGAUGAAAAGCAGCAGUGGCGAUGCGCGGGGCAAUAAAGUGUAUGAUAAAUAAACAAACCAACGACUUCCACACACAAAGACGUGACUCUCUAGGUCAUCUUCAACAAAAAAAACGUUACUCCAUCUAUUGUUCUGGCGGUGAAUUGCUCUGCAACACACGCAAGACUUUUAGAACCAUGAAUUGAAACGAGUGCGUCGACACAACGGUGCGUAAAUACGCAGACGCAGAAGUAUGCGCCAGCCUUUGCUCAACAUGCCUCAGGUGCGUGUAACUCUCUGUUAGCCUACUGCGGGCUAACGUGGGCUAACGUGGACUAGAUAUUCUAGUCAUAAGCCAAACUAACAAAUCAUGUAUUCUCAGUUUAUAUAUUUUAACUUACAAACAUGAUUUGUUUGCAAUGCAAGAAGUAUGCUCUCAAAACAGUUUUUAAAAUUUGCAUAAUAAAGACACAAAUCUACAUUCAUACAUAUGCAAAUCAGUAAUGAAUUUUCCCACAGACCAGAUGACAAAACACAUUUUUAUAAGCUAUUGCAUAAAUAAAGUAACAGUGAGUAAAUAGAAAGGUAGAACUCUGCAUUAGCUGAUGAAAGAUGGCUAUAUGUAACUUCCUCAUAGAACAACCCCAAGGUACUGUAUAUUUGGAUGCUAAAUAAUGAUCACAAAUCAAUCGUUAACUUGUGUUUUCCUUUUGAACACAAGGGAUGGACUGACAAGUAAAAACAUCUAAUUCAACUAGUCAGUGGUUUCCCAAAAUAUGUCUUCUUCUAAAAUUGGUCCAUCAGGCUUUUGCUAGCUGCACCGAAUGACCCAUGAUCGGAACGGUCACGCUUCCAGCUCUCGGUUUCCGCGGCUGUGAUGACAACAAAGAGCAGGCGGCCAAUCUGCCGUCCGCGGCUGGGGUACAAAAGCCUCGUGAAUCAAAGUCUCUCCGCUCCGCACUCCUCCCUUCGCACACAGCUCUCAUUGGACAGCCCUCGCUUCUGCAUUCCGACGUCUUCAUUAUAGUAAUUGCCCGUUGAGUUUUCCUGCAUUAUUGAUGAGCCCACACGAUAAAAAAGAAAAACAAAGCAAAGAAUAUGCAUGCUAAACAAACGCCCUUCGGCCUCCACGGCCCAGUAAUUCUUACGUGUAGUGUCUGGUGGUUAUGCACACAAGCCGUCACCUUUGGGUGCUUCGUCGUUUUCUGACUGGAGAAAUAACCGGAGGUGAAAAGGGAGACAAUUACACACCGUCUCUGUGAUGGCGCGUUACCGCUCGCUUUUGUGGCCGAAGCGACACCGUACGUGUUGCGCUUGAUUUCUUUGCACGUCUGCGACUCUGUGACAGUGAGUCCUAAAGCAGCACUCGGGUCACUGCCCGAAAUCACAGACUCACAGUUGAAUGCAGCUGCAGGGAAACAAUGACUGGCGGGCCAAGGGGCAGCUCAGUGUCCAGAACCAAGACAUUGCGAAAAGAACCCUGCAGAAUAUCAAAAUAAAAAAAGAAUCUGGAGCAGGAGAGAGCAAUUGUGCAGGCAGUUAAUUCAGGACUACUCAAUUGUUUCAUGAAUACAUCUUUCAUCCAUAGGUCUAAAGUCACCAAACGUUGAGAAGCGCAAGAAGUGUUUCACUGCCUCCAGAAGCCUUCUCGCCCUCACAGGGAAUAAUAUUCUGGCACGUACACAGCGACUGCGGCGAGCUGACACUACAUUUGUGUCAGCGUUGCAAUGGAUUCGAGAUCCCGAUGCAACUCACCUGUCAUGCCUCGCGCCGGGCCCCCGUCUGCCAACUCAAAUUUUCAGAAGUCAUAAAAAGUGGCUCUUAUUUAUGCGGAAUGGCGGAUUAGAGCCGAUUGAUAAUUGUUUAUGCCCUCGGCAGUGGUGGAUAUGUGUAUUUCAGGGGAAAAAAAAGAUUCACAGAAAGCCGGGGCUACAAAGAGAAGCAGGCAGCGGCAGGCGGGCGUGCAGGAGUGGGCGGGAGGUUUAGAGACGCGGGAUGCUUGGUAAACAGAGGAGAUGCGCGCCUCCUCCUCUCCCCCCUCCCAGGCUCGGCAGAGACAUCGAGCACGGGUGUGAUGGCGCGGACACACGCAAGCUAUGUGAUCCACAGCAACGGACCACCGGUGCAACCGCCGAUCAAAGGGAACCCGGAGCGGGCAGUCCAUAGGAAUCAUGAAUAUUGUGCACAAAACAUACUAGUUUGCAAUUGCGCAUGCCUUUUUGAAGUAAAGCGACACUAAAAGCUACGAUUAUCUGAUAUGUGCCUGUUUCUCAAUUAACAUCAUCAUUGGAGCGCUGCGACGGCAGAUACGGCUGUGGAGGAGUUUAUUGACGACAUUGACUUUAAAGAGUGCUUUGAAAACAGACGGAAGGAACCAAUGUCCAUGUUCUUAUCCUUGUUCUUAUGGGCUGAUGGAAAAACUGAACCGGGGAAAAACUGGGCCAAAUGCUGGGAAAUUAAUUACAAAAAGGUAAUCAAAAGGGAUUCUUCACAGUUAUUAAUGUCGAGCAUUUUGUCAGAAAUGACCGUAUCAUUCCAUUUCCAUUUUUACACCUCCUGUGGUUUCAUCCAGACGGGGGCAUCUUGAGCCGCUUAGUCCCUGCAGGAGGGCCCAGAGGAAAAAGGUUCACAAACUUCUGAGCCAAUAUAUCAUCUUCAAAAUAGAGCCUCACGGCCACUUUUGCACUGCGUGGAUGCUGCAGCACUCCCGCUACGUCUUGUGUAUUCAAUGUCUUUGACUUUCUGCCAAACACAACAGCAAACAAAGUGUUCUGCUCUUUACACACAGGACAACAUCCGGGAUUAUUUGGCGUCUCUGUGCUGUUUCAGAGAGCAGCUUAUGCGGUGAGUCACUUUUGAGCACAAUGAAUGCAUAUGCUUAACUUUUUUUCCUUUUUCUUGUGGACCAAUAUAAUAUAGAAUUUGUAAUUGAAAUAUUUCCACAAAGAUGCAACACAUCAAUACGUGUAAUGUAUAAGCCUUUUUAUAAAUAGUCUUGUUCCGCUGAUGCUGUGGCACCUCGAUCUGUCUGCACGACGGCGUCCACACUCUGGUAUCAAAUAUUGAAAAAUGACAACUUCCAGUGUCGAUGUAACCGUAUCUUCUUUUCUAUCAAUAGCGCGUGUCUCGGCUCCACCUCAAAGGUCACGGGGCGACUCCAAACGUCUCAGGUGCCGGCAGACUUUGCUAGCGGCCUCACACCCGGCCUCCGAGAAACUGAAGACCGGGUCCCACCGCUGAUCAAUGCCUUUUUCAGCGUGCCCCCCUCACCGGGCACAGAAACCACACGUGGGCGGCCGACUGCCCGCCCCCAAUCCAUCGCUCUCUGUGUAUUUACAGCAAAUGAAACAUGCAGACGGAAAGACGGCCGCUAUCGAUUGGCUUGUGGCUACGCUGUUUUGAGUGACAUUUCAUAAAUGGAGCCGCCUCAUGAAAUAGUAAUGAGCCGAUGGCGAUUAGCAUUUAACUUUAAUAUGCCGUGAUUGAUCAGAUAUUCCAGUUUCACGUGCCCAAGGUUACGUAUACCAAGACAAGCAAAUAAAUCCCACAAACAAUACUGAAACUAUUGUUUUUGCUUUUAAUGCCGCUUAUAGGUCAAUCAAAAACAACUUCUGCCUCCUCGCUGAAGAAACAUCUGGGCAUGAAUACAUCUGUUAAAUAGGAUGCGUUUACUUUUCUAAAAGAAGCGGGUCCAUGUGCAUUGGUGGGUACUUUGGUCACCGCCUACCCAUGUUCACCCAAGGACGCGGUGUAGCUAGUACACACUUAGUAUUCCAGCCCUGCACGCAGAGGGAGAUUGCACCUGUACAAGCUGUUAGGUGAUGUCUGUGUCACUCGGAUGACCAGGAUCUGUAGCCAAGCAUUUCCUUGAGGUAUGGAAUUGGUUGUCUGGGGGAAAAUCUGAUUAGUCACCGCUGACAAUGCAGAGACAAGGAAAUUACUUUCUUGUGCAUAUCAUUAAGGGAAAAUCAAUAUGACGAAUGUGGUGGGGGCCCGGGCCAUUUAUUGUGUCUGAGCUGAGGCCAAGGCGGGCCCUCUUUGCAGUGGCCUCUUGUCAUUCCUUUAAUUUGUUCUUCGCAGAGGGCUUCAGGUGCAUCCUGCCAUUUUCCUCCCCUCAUACGACUGUACGUCUCCGACCUACGACUUAAUUACCUCAAAAUCAAUUGUCUCAUGAGGGAAUUCAAGUGGUACUUCAAGGUGAGACUGCCUCACACAUGACUGCCUAAUGUUUUCAUUACCUGCAGGGGAUCUGGAUUCAAUUCUCGCACCACAAUGGUGCAGAACAAGAAACUCGCCAACAAGAAACGGAACCAACCACUCAACCCCAAAAUAUUCUAUGGCUCAGGUUUUUGAGUACUUCUCUUUUGCAUGUGAAACGUUACAACAAGUAAUUCAAAGAAGUACAAUUUCAAGGACAUGUCGAGAACCGGUUGUGGAGAACUUUUUAAACGGUUUGAUCUUCCUUCUUCAAACUGAGCUGUCGGGGAUUCCGGGCUGAGCUACAAUACUUUUAAAUGAAUUAUACUACAAAAUAGCCCAUUAUCUACAGUAUCAUUAAAUUGAUCCAAAUGUGAAAGCUAUUUUAAUGCAAAUCGCAUGAGUAGCAUUUUCCACCCCAGCUGUGUCUGAGGAUGCUCUGGAUUUAAUAUCCUGUAAUCCACGCAGCAAAGUCCUCCAUACGCUCUCCAACCACUUCUUAUGACUACACCUCCUCUCCGAUCGAGCUGCAUCCGUGUGCACAACCACCUGAUACCUUCAGUGAUUAUCCUGAGAUGCUCCUCCACCUGUCUCUUUAUUCCCUCUGCACCCGUCGCCGACAGCCACAGGACACAAAGCUACGUCAUUCAGCUCUGCUGCUGCUGGCACCACGUUAAUAUCCACAUCUUUAUUUGUUGACCUGUUUACAUGAAGUGCUCUUGCAGCUUGCACUGCCCACAAGCACAGCAAUAAAUUUGAUAUGAAUACGUUUUUUCAAAAAGAAAUUAGCCUUUUUAUUGUAACCCAAUUUUAUAAUAUCCCUGGUACCCUGCAAGCAAAAUAUGUUGUUUUGACAGUGAAAGUGAAAUCUUCCAAUAAAAACGGAUUAGCAUCAACUAUUAUUGCUUAUACAUCUACACACAUGAAAUGGUUUUUCAUUUCAACUUGAAUUAUAUAAUGGGACGGAUAUAAAUCUUUUCAGCAUUUUUCAUUAGUGUGUAAAAUACAAGCUUUUCUCUCAUGAACAGUUAAAUUGUUAAAAGCCACAUAUUAAUAAACAAAUAUACAGCUAAUUUCUAUUAAUAGAACAUUGAUGCUAUUCAUCUGUUCCCUGUUCAAAUAUGUAAAGAAAACAGCUGUAGGAUUUCCCAUAUUCUAUUUCACUCUAUUGAGAAUCUUGUGUAAAAUAUAAUAAAACCACACAUCAUCUUAAAAGAUUAAGAUGAUAUUAUAGACAAGGCAGGGAAGCUGUCAGAAAGACGGCCGACUAUUACAUAGAGCUUGUUCUUGCGAAAGGAAAGAGUUCAUCCUAGAGAUUAAUUGGUUUGAGAGAAAGGCACCAUGUUUCUGGUUCAAGCUAUGACAUUUAGAGCCAACAAGGGAGUGAACUUCAUUAUCAAGAUUUAUGAAAACGAUUCAGGUAGAACAUUCCAUUCACCCGUCCGAUUAUUAAUCCCGUCCUAAAAAGUAAAUUGAAUUAAGUGGCGCAUUAUUCUCUCUAUUUAUAAUGUCCAUAUUAGUUCUUUUAUUGAGCAUCAGUCACUUUUUUUGAAAAGGAGAGGCAGAACACAAAGCACCAAAUGGAAAAUGAAUCGGCUUUGUACUGGGACCUCUUUGUUGGAGUAAUAGCGUAUAAUUGAGGACGGAAGCUCACACUGUGGUUUUCUUUCUCAGCACAGUACUGUUUGUCUCUGUAAAGCCGGCUCUGGCCAUUAGUGCACCGGGGAGAUAAGGAGUUAUUGAACCACUAUUGAUCGCACACUAGGAAAGUCUGGUGAUUUAUAUGUAUAACGUCCUUUUCCAAGGUAAGCAACCAAUAAGUAUCCAAAGGGAGGAAUUUGGUGGUUGCCUGUGUGUUUGUGUUAUGACGGUUCAUCAUGUUUCUUCAUGGCAGUGAGCCGAUGAAGACGAUGCUAAACGAUAGAAUCAAAAACUGCCUUUUUGCAUUUGCAAGAGCAGCUCGUGUAUUAGCAUGCAGUGAUCAUGAAUACACGUGUCAAAAUGUGUAUUCACCUCAUGCUGUAACAGUCCUCCAGUUCAACACUCCUCCACAGCUGGGAACCCGUCAAUAGGUGUGGUAGCAAUGUCAACAUGAACAUUAUAGAGAAUAUUAAAAGAUAGAGUUUCUAAUGUUUUACCGAGGGAGGAGGUGUUUACGAGAAUAUGGAGCCAAAUCCAGGUCAAACGUUUGGUUCAUUUGAAAAACAAAUUUCAAAUGAACAAAGUUUUAUUGUUGAAUAUUGAAAAAUGUCUAUUCAAAAUAAAAAUAAGUGGAUGAAAAAUAUUUUCGGGAUGAAAAUAGUUUUAACUCAGCUCUACAUAUUUUUGGGAAUAAAAAUGUAUUUUUUCAAUCUUUACUUAUAAUAGAGUGAAUAUCAAAAAAUAUAUAUAUAUUUUGGUUGCAGAUUUUAUUUCUUUUUGUAAUUCAAAUUUUAUAUUUUCAGAUUCAAAACUUAUAUUUUCACUGAAGUCACUAAAAUGCUACCGAAUGAAACACACACUAGGACAGACCAACAGCAGCCAUCAGCAUAAUGAAACCAGCAAAUGUGUCCUAAAUUAUCUCAUUUUGAUACAAUAUACAUUAAUGGCAAAUUGAGCCAGACUGUUUUCUGAGCAUUUUAGAAUGUAAAUCAUUAUUUUCUGUCAGACACAAUUCAGUAGAAGAAGCCAAAAUUAACUUUGAUUCAUCUUGGUCCACAUUUGCCAUAAUUUGCCAUCUGUGCUUGUUUAGAAGGGGGUGUCUGGCCGGGGAUGAGAGCGCCUACAAAUCCUCCUCAAAGUGCUGCUUUCAAAGCCCUGGACGGCCCAGGGAGGACUGAGAUGUGGGCGGUUUCCCUUCACACAAAAAGCCAGCAGACUUUCACAUGCGGGUGCCCCUCCCUGACUCAACAGUUGUUUAAUCACCAAUCCUUAAUCAGCUUUCCCCCCACACUUCCAAAGGCAUGCAUCAUUUAGCAAUGACACAUAAUCGGCAGCGAAAAAGCAGCGGCUUUUUGAAGGGAAUCAAAACAAAAAAUCUCUUUUAAUCACAUUGUCGCGUUUCCCUCCAACACACACUGACGCCAGCGUGCUGGACUAAGGCACAGACAACAGGUCUGUGCUGAAGAACCCACUGGCUUCCGUUUCCCAGUUUCAAGGUGAGCAUUACCGUGGAAACAUCAGGCGUCUUAUUACUCAGCUUAGCAGGCUCCCUUAUUAAGGAUUCUGGUUGGAAGCAUCUUCUCUGAGAAUCCUAAUUAGUGGGACUUCAACAAAAGACGGAGGAUUGUGCCAUCUGCCUUACAAAACGAGGAUUCCUCACUAAUUAAAGACACCUAGGAGAGCAGUGGUACCUGGUUAGGCAGGCAAGGUGAGGGAGUUCAUUUGAAAAACCUGCUGUAUGUUCCUCUUUUACGAAGCCGGGUAUGUUUCUUUAAGAAAGCAUUUGUGUGUGUCUGUGUGAGAGAAACCGAUUCUCCUGUCGAGUUGUUGGACAGCUGAAAUAUAUCAGAUAAUAACACAAUACAUCCAAUUUCAAAUAUGAUACAUUCCAUUUUUACCAAAAAGUUAUACAUUUCUAAAAAAUAUUUUUUAAUGUCCAAUGUGGGAUAACUGCGCAUUGCAAUAACUUCUAUUAAACUUAAAUAAAAAAAAUCAAUUACACAAACUCCGUCCUGGAGUGCCUUUUACCGUUAACAUCUUUAUAUGGUGAUGUGACACCUUCCCAGCUACUAGCCAUUCAAAUAAUAACAGGAGAAAACAGAGGUCUUAUUAUGCAAUGAACUGGCCCCAAAAUUAUUUUUCUUGUUCAGGAGCAAAGUAAAUUUACUUAAUUGAUGGCUGUGAAUAACAAUUGUUCCACUUGAAAAAGAUAACUUGUUAGAAUUGAAUUUGUCACAGUGUUCGGUCCUCUCUGCAUGUCAACAUUAAAAAAAGGAGGGUCAGUAACCGCGGCGUCCAUUUAAUGCCCAUUGUACCUCUAUCCAACAGGAGCGCAAAGAAAUCGUUCAGGAUUCUGUUGACAAAUAAGUAACGCACAGGGACAUGCAACACUGUGCUGUACACAAGUGCACCGCCUACCUCCCAAAUGGACUUAGUGGCAUCGCUAUUAUAAUACUAUAAUAGAUGUCAUGUACAAAGGCCCUCCUCUUUCAGUUAUCUUUGGAACAGGCUUAAAGCUGUCCAGCAGACUUGCAAACACACACACACACAGUCACAUAUAUAAUCUCCACCACUGCAAAUGCCCUCCAGACACAGGUUUCAUUUGAACACAUUCAUUACCUUUUAAUUGCCUCUAAAUUGCAAUGUGACCCAUCACAUCAAUAACACUAUCUUUGUAACAGCAGAAAUGCGGAGCAACGCUGGGUCUGCAUGCAAAUAAUUACGUGUGUGUGUGUGUGUGUGUGUGUGUUUCACGUGGAGACGCUUAACUUGUGCAGACAUUUAGACUGUGUGUGUGUGUGUGUGUGUGUGUGUGUGUGUGUGUGUGUGUGUGUGUGUGUGUGUGUGCAGGGUGUAAACAGUAGCCGAUGCUCUGUGCCUUCAGCUGCAGGAGUCAGCUUCUUUGUUAAAGGAGCGGCCAUCAACCCGAUGAAGGUGAAUCAAAACGUGUUUCAUCUCAAUCCCCUCGUAUUACUCGCUGUUGCUCCCCUAAACCUGCACUCCACGUGACUUUCAGGCCGUGCAGAGGCGACAUCCCGCUGACUGAAAACCCUACAAGGAAAUCGCAUUAAAGCGGCAUUACCAAUCACCAGGAAUCUAUUUGCCUUAUUCUCACUAUAAUGUGCAGAGAAUAUGUUGAAACCCGGGAAACUUUUUGCCAGAGUGGAGCCGUACUCCUGAAAAUAAACAAACAGCUCUGCCUGGGUGGUGCAGGCAGCUGUGCAGGGAGAUGAUAAUUCCACAUAAGCAGGUCUCUGAUAUACAAGUUAACCUGUGUGUGAACUCUCAGUACUAAACAGCUGGGAUGCUUGAAGUUGCUUCAACUUUUCAAGCCUAUUGAUGUUAAUACUACUUCUAUAACUAGAACUAAUGGUUCUAGUUAUAGAAGUAAGGGUGGAGUUGGCCAGAAUUCAUGGUGCAGUAGGUACAAUGGCUUUGGGGUCUGGCAUAUUUUGGGCGCAGCCGUAAAAAUCAAAAUGAUUGCGUUGUUCAUGCUCGGGGCAGAGUUGGGCCGUGCUGCUGAACGCUGUGGGGAGAAGGACGGCGUUUUGGUUCGUUCCAUUAAUGGCAUAUUUGCUGAUGCCGUCUGAGCUCAAAUACUUGCAGUGUAUCUUCAGGUGCACAAGACUUCAGGGGAACAAUAUCAGCGUACGAUAAGACACAAAUCGUUGGCUAACCCACCUAAAUAGUCUUUUGAAAGGUAUACAUCUCAGCUGCACCAAUCAGAUGAAACAUUAGGAAUGUGAAGCAUCCAAGGUAUCAGUCAUGUUUCCCGUCCGUGAGGCAAAACGUGCAAUGGUGUUGAGCCAAAGCUUUGGCUUUGCUGUUUAAGAGACCCUAUUGGAUUCCCCUCAGAAGUUGUGAUUCAUCACUUCCUUUGGGAGGAGAGUCGUUCAUGCCCGACAGCAGGAUGUGAUUCUGACGCAGCCAAUUCGUACUGUUUCAAUUACUGGGAUCGGGACCAUCCCCUCCGAGGAGACGCGUCAUGAAUCGUUUUUCUGCCAUGAGAGUAGUUCACUCGCUAUCUCAACGCGUUGUGGAAUACAGUCGGCAUUAGGAGCCUACAUGCAGGUAAGGCCAACAGUUACCUGAACACACAAAAGCAGAUCUAGCGGUUCACAAUUCAGAGAGACAUAACAACAAAAAAAAAACGUCCCAAAAAAUAUGCUGCAGCAGCUUCCGUUCCUGGGCGGGGUAACUUUGUUUUGCUACAGCCAAGCGUGGAGCUGAGAUAACGGUCCCCGAAGCAUUCCCUCAAAUCACACACCGACUCUGAACUCGGGCCAUGUUGUUCAUGCCGGCACUGCAGACCUGUGCUGUGAGCUGCAUACUCACAUGCCCAUUACCUUUUUUGAGCAUCGCUCGCCUCGGAAUUAAUUAAAGUCCAACACAGCCUCGCCUGGAGAGUGAAGGCGGUCCGAGCUGUUGUUAACAGCAAAUCAAGGCCGCAGCACCUUCUCGGAUCAGAGAAAAUUACUCUUAACUGUAAGGCACAAUUAAGUGGCAGAGCGCUCGAGGGUCUGCGGGGAAAUUCAGUGAAGCUACACUUUUCCACUCAGUCUGUCAGCACUCAUAUCUCGGUGUGUGUGUGUCACAGGGGUGACAGACUGGUUGUUCAGGUUGCGAUGUGUUUUGGGGGAUUGCGUCAGUGUAAAGAUGUCGAUCCCAUGAUGCAAUUCUACACAAACUGGCACGAAAAGCGCAUUCUGCCAUUUGGUGAGUUCUAUAUUUUGAGAUUUAGCUCUGCAACUCUGGGGUUAAGAACUGAUUGUUGCGAUGCUCUCAACUUCCCAGGUAUCACCUGUCUAUCGCCAUGUGCAGUGUCAUAAAAUAGUCAAACUACAACUGUCUUUUGACCAACUGAUACCAUCACUUCCCAGGAACUUGAGACUGAUUUUUUGGCUAAGAACUACCAUACACUGAGAGAGAGUGAUCUAAAUGAUUCAUCUUUGAGAAAUCUAUAAAUAAAUGUGGCUGUUUUUAAAUAUCUGUCAUAAAUCAAAUAGGAUUUUUUGUGCAGGAGAAAGUCCGAAUUACACAAAUGUAUAUUGUAUUCUGCAGAAGCUCGGACUGGAGCAGUUGGGGACACGUGUGGCAGUGAUACUACUGUUGAAAAGACAAAGUUAGUACUGAAGAUAAUGUAUGAUUUUAAUGCACACAACACCACAACCCUAAAGGCUCAUAUUUGUUUUGGCCUUUCCUUUCUUCACAAUUCAUCAGUUCUUUGUAAAGUUAUCAAGGCCAAUUGCACUCACUCAUCGUCUAUGGAGAGUUCAGGUUGGAUUAAGAGUUUCUUCUUCAGAGCAUUUUACACCUGCAGUGGUUGAACUUUUUGUUGGGAGCAAGGUGAAAUUACAACACAAACGUCUUUUCUAUGGCUUAUUGCACACAAACUACUCAGCCAGUUAUUUCAUCACUAAUGCAAUGCUGUAAUAAGAUGAUCUCUGUUUGAAUGCACGUUUCCACAUUGAACACAUUUCUCCUGGGGCACAUCGGCGAGCAGCCUUCAGUUUCUGUCCUCUCACGGCUCCCCCUCGCUGCAACAUUUGACAUCAAAAUGAUUAUGACACAUUCUGAGCUUUGCACAGUUUAACUGACUGCUUCACUUUGAAUGUGUGUGGAUUACAGGAUUUCAUUUUAAAAUGCUUUUUAGGGUUUUUGAACAAGUCGAUGCAUCAGCCAAUCAGAUGAACCUUAUGACUUGUGUUAGUUCCUUCUAUUUAGAACAUCCUAAGUAAAAAAGUCCAAAUUAGACACAACACAAACUAUACUCACACAAACCUUUACUGUAAGUAAAUAUCUACUGUUUUAACAAUGAGAAGGAGUCAACACACCUUCUUUUAUUUAUUCCAAGAAAUUAUUCUAUGAGUGCACCUUUUUGGAUGUCAAUCAAGCUGUAACAUUUUAGAAUAACGUGUAUGAAAUAUAUAUGUAUAGAUCUCCAACUGCCAUAUCGAGUGCAUUUAUGAUCCUUCAACCUAUGAGUCUCUCUUCUAUUCCUUUUUGUAAAACCCUGUGAGAAAGGUGCGUUUCAAGGUUGAAUAGAUACUGGACCUGCUUGGAAUUAAUAUGUAGCGUGGGUCUGGUCCACAGCUCAGAUCUUACUCAUAGCAGAGUUAACGCAUCGGUUUCUUUCUAAUAGUGCUUUCAUAAAGGAGAAAACGACUGAAGCACAGUACGCUCGUGCAAGAAACACUGACUGUGAAUUAGCUAGCAAGUGAUCAACCUCAUGCUAAUGUCAUUUCACACAAUUCAACGGCACCAAUAACCAGAUGGCUAAAAUGGAUUGAAAACUAAUGCACUAAGACAAUUAUUUAAUAAAAGAUAGUACCACUGUCUUCAUUUCACAGAGUGGACACUAUCCAAGCCCUUCAGUCGGCUUAAGCCUCGGCCACAUUAGCUGAUUACCCGUUUAAGUCUCGCUUGGAUCAGCAUUCAGAUCGAUGAUCAGCUGAAUCAUCUUAAAAAUGAAAGCUCAAAAUGAAUGUCGCGAGAUUGUUGAUGGAAAAUUAGUAAUUUGGGCAACUUCCUGGUGGGAUAUUACUUUGUAGAAAGGCCCUAAGCGAUUAACUCCUAUGUCUAAUAUUUCCGUAGUUGCUUCAGCCACUUGCACACUUAAUUACUGCAGUCUGUAUUCCACUUCUACAUCCAGCUGCUCUUAGAAAUCCUCUGAUAUCAGUUAGACUGCACUUGCCUGAAUGUUUAGCCGUAGUUCGUGGUUACUUACACCACGGCGCACCCCACCCACCCUCACGCCCUCCACACACACACUCAUCGCCACCAUGACUAAGUAGGCAGCUGAAUAUUUUAUUCAUCGAGCGUUCUUGUCAUCAUGUAAGUCUGGGGGAAAAGAAAAAAAAAAGGCAAUGCCGGAAUCAGGAAUCAUGAUCCAGGAAGAGUGAUAAAAAGGAGGCUAUAUAUAGAUGACAAAUUACUAUCCCAGAGAAAAACAGCUUUUUUGAAUAUUUCAUGCGACAGACCUUCACUUUUCUGGUGGAGAGAAAGAAGAAUUCCCUGCAUUCGUCAGGAAAAGUUCAAAUAUAGAUCAGUUAAUUACUCCCUUGUCCUUGCGAUGUGCGUUCUGUAGAUCCGGUAACUCAAUAGAGACGUGGUCUGUCGCGCACACACACACACAACUACACAUCCUGCAUACUGCACCUUCUCCUAUUCCAUUGUUUUUCAGAGUGUUUUUCCUGCACGUCCCUCAAACAGAAGUAAAGACUCUCCUUUGUGGAUUGAAACGGCGGCGAGUUUGUGGCCAAACAGCAGAAGCAAACAGGUGUUUAGAAAUCUGCUGCCUGGUGGCUCGCUGCCUAAUUUCCAUAACAUGGCGUAUUAACAUUUUUAAUGAAUAUUCAGCCUUUUUCUGCGAGCACCCGCUUGGUGGGUCUUGUUAAGUCAUUCAAAUGAAAUUAUAAAAAAUGCAGUGGAGUGUCCUACAUGUAGGCAGCAUAUGGUAUUGGGAAUACUGCUCAUUCAAGUGCUUGGCUGAUUUUUUGCGCCACUGCCAUCCAGCUGUCAAUCACACUUUUGCUCCCGUGAACGAGACCACCAGAUUCCAACGUUGAAACAAUUGCAGACAUUAAUAUUCAUGAGAGGCCGAUGAUUUUCACUGCCGCGCUGACUGCUGGGCUUGAGUGAAUGUCAGGAUAACUCCCAGUUUGACUUUGUUGUCCUGCCAGCUACUUCCGUUAAAGUUGCAUGCAGUUUUUUUAUGCUACUGUAAUUAAUCAGAGUUAAAUAUUUUUACUGCACCGGCACUGCCGGUGGAACAUAUGCUAUUUGUCAAAACAUGUUAGGCUCAUCUUUUGUCACUCCGAAAUAUUGCCGCCUGUUAGAGUAUCAGAUGGAAGGGUGUGGGUGGGAAUACUUGCUGACACAUGCCUGUUGGAAGUUCCAGUAUGGUAUGAUUUCCUUCUUGUGCACAUGGCGUGGCGUGAGGCCACCUGGUACAGCAAAUACAAGAAAUAAAAGCCACUGCGUUCAUGCAUCCCUCUGAACGGUGCAAUGGUACCCUGCAGCCUCGUUAAAACCCAAUGCAAGUUACUGCCAAGACGAGUUGACAUACACACACACAUACACACACUGGGAGCCUUCUCUCCUUCAUUGGUUUGUCUUGCAGAAGUUCACCAGUUACCAGUUCACCAGCUGGGAAACAGCUGGAGGGGCAGUUUGACUACCACGGACCCUCCCAUCUCCGCCCAAUACUGCCAUCUCUCUCCGCGAGGGUCUCCCCCGUAUCACAUGGGGAUCAUCCACGGGCUGCAGGGGAGUGAGGAAACCUCUCACUGCUAAGUCAUAUCGAGUGAUAUAAGGUGACGAUAGAGUGUAAUAGCAUCAAGGCCCCCAUAAAGCUGCAUUUUUGGUGAUUAACUUGACCUCAAGGGACACUUACCAUUAUCCAUAAUAGGAUUGAUUUUACACUCCAUCCAUCCAUUGUCAAACCGCUUAUCCUGCACACAGGGUCGCGGUGAUUUUACACUGAAAAGCCAAAUUAGUUAUUUAGAUAUAAUGUUAUUUAGAUUUAACUCAAUGUGGGCAUCAUAAUCUAAAAUUAAUCUAUCGAUUAAAAAAAGGGCCUCUAGGGAUGAUGAAACCAGGGCCAACCAUUGAGAAGUGGGUUUUCAGUGUUCGAGGACACUUCGACCGGAUUUGUGAAGGAAGUUGUGAAUACAGUGACCAUACAUCCAGGUUUAGUCCCAAUCGGCCUGGUUUCUAAGUCGGGUGUCUCGGUUUUUCAAGCUAAAACGCAGCGGUUUCAACACGAUUGCAAUGAUGAAAUGCUUUGAAGAUAAUUUUAGCACUUUUAGCACUUCCAUAGACAUUCCUCAUGCUCAGCCCCGCUCGUAAUUAUAUGAAGCUAUAAAAAAAAAAAAUCACCAAGUGUCUGAACACUGAUUUGUCCGUAACACCAUCAGCACACUAACGUCUAGCUGUUGUGCAGAGGAGAAAGUUGUUCUCCUCCAAAGAGCUUUACAGUAGUAAUUGUAUCAGGGAGCAGUUAGCGGC
Gasterosteus aculeatus aculeatus (three-spined stickleback) is the source of this 27385-nucleotide long non-coding RNA. Lineage: Eukaryota; Metazoa; Chordata; Actinopteri; Perciformes; Gasterosteidae. The record is from Ensembl.